AGCAGUAGCCGCGGGAAUACAGAGGGUGCGAGCGUUAAUCGGAUUUACUGGGCGUAAAGCGUGCGUAGGCGGCUUCUUAAGUCGGAUGUGAAAUCCCUGAGCUUAACUUAGGAAUUGCAUUCGAUACUGGGAAGCUAGAGUAUGGGAGAGGAUGGUAGAAUUCCAGGUGUAGCGGUGAAAUGCGUAGAGAUCUGGAGGAAUACCGAUGGCGAAGGCAGCCAUCUGGCCUAAUACUGACGCUGAGGUACGAAAGCAUGGGGAGCAAACAGGAUUAGAUACCCCAGUAGUCCCUGUCCUUAUACA
RNAcentral lists this ribosomal RNA (303 nucleotides) under uncultured bacterium. Its description in RNAcentral is "partial 16S ribosomal RNA". It matches the Rfam family "Bacterial small subunit ribosomal RNA", at positions 507 to 809 of the family's 1533-position model. The record is from RNAcentral.